CCUACGGGAGGCAGCAGUGGGGGAUAUUGCACAAUGGGGGAAACCCUGAUGCAGCGACGCCGCGUGUGGGAAGACGGUCCUCUGGAUUGUAAACCACUGUCCCCAGGGACGAAGAUGACGGUACCUGGGGAGGAAGCUCCGCCUAACUACGUGCCAGCAGCCGCGGUAAUACGUGGGGAGCGGGCGUUGCCCGGAAUUACUGGGUGAAAGGGGAGCGUAGGCGGGACUGCAAGUUGGGUGUCAAAUCUACCGGCUCAACCGGUGGCCGCACUCAAAACUGCAGUUCUUGAGUGAAGUAGAGGCAGGCGGAAUUCCUAGUGUAGCGGUGAAAUGCGUAGAUAUUAGGAGGAACACCAGUGGCGAAGGCGGCCUGCUGGGCUUUUACUGACGCUGAGGCUCGAAAGUGUGGGGAGCAAACAGGAUUAGAUACCCGAGUAGUC
This 440-nucleotide ribosomal RNA is filed under the name uncultured bacterium. RNAcentral describes it as "partial 16S ribosomal RNA". It matches the Rfam family "Bacterial small subunit ribosomal RNA", at positions 338 to 795 of the family's 1533-position model. The record is from RNAcentral.